This 825-nucleotide ribosomal RNA is filed under the name uncultured Treponema sp. Its description in RNAcentral is "bacterial SSU rRNA". It matches the Rfam family "Bacterial small subunit ribosomal RNA", at positions 309 to 1127 of the family's 1533-position model. The record is from RNAcentral. Lineage: Bacteria; Pseudomonadati; Spirochaetota; Spirochaetia; Treponematales; Treponemataceae.
CACAUUGGGACUGAGAUACGGCCCAGACUCCUACGGGAGGCAGCAGGUAAGAAUAUUCCGCAAUGGGGGGAACCCUGACGGAGCGACGCCGCGUGAACGAAGAAGGCCGGAAGGUUGUAAAGUUCUUUUCUGUCCGAGGAAUAAGUUUCGGAGGAAAUGCCGGGACGGUGACGGUAGGGCAGGAAUAAGCACCGGCUAAUUACGUGCCAGCAGCCGCGGUAACACGUAAGGUGCGAGCGUUGUUCGGAAUUAUUGGGCGUAAAGGGCAUGCAGGCGGGUCGCCAAGCUUGGUAAGAAAUACCGGGGCUCAACUCCGGAGCUAUAUUGAGAACUGGCGAGCUAGAGUUGCCGAAGGGUAUCCGGAAUUCCGCGUGAAGGGGUGAAAUCUGUAGAUAUGCGGAAGAACACCGAUGGCGAAGGCAGGAUACCGGCGGACGACUGACGCUGAGGUGCGAAGGUGCGGGGAGCGAACAGGAUUAGAUACCCUGGUAGUCCGCACCGUAAACGAUGUACACUAGGUGUCUGGCAUAACGGCUGGGUGCCAAAGCAAACGUGAUAAGUGUACCGCCUGGGGAGUAUGCCCGCAAGGGUGAAACUCAAAGGAAUUGACGGGGGCCCGCACAAGCGGUGGAGCAUGUGGUUUAAUUCGAUGGUACGCGAGGAACCUUACCUGGGUUUGACAUAGUAUCUGAUGCCGUAGAGAUACGGCAGCGUAGCAAUACGAGGUACAACAGGUGCUGCAUGGCUGUCGUCAGCUCGUGCCGUGAGGUGUUGGGGUUAAGUCCCGCAACGAGCGCAACCCCUACUGCCAGUUACUAACAGGUA